UCAGAAGCUAGGCUGCACUUUGCAAGCAUUCAGUCUCCCCACUGUCCCCAGGACCAGAGGCUGCUGUGCCAAGUGCCUCCAGCUCUUUGGGGAGGGGCUCAGCAGCACCCUUACCUUUGGCCAAGUGCUUGCUGUGUUCCCCCCCUCCUGACUCAACUCAAGAAACAGUCAGACUUCCUAAAACCCCCCAAUCUAAGGAGGCCUGCAGGACCCCUAUGAAGAAAGAUCCCAUGUCACCUUUUCAGCUUGAAUUCAUCAGCACGAGAUGAAGGAGGCUCAAGACUUUUCCCGCUCUGCAGAAAAGUGCAUCCAAAAGCAGCACCGGAGUCUCUGCCGUCCUCUCUUCCACAGUAUACCGCAGGGUCACCCAUGAGCUAGCAUCACAAAACUCUCAUAAGCAGACACUGUGAAGCACCAACCAAUUUGUUUUCAGAUCCUACCCUGGAGACUAUUUGACAAAGCAAUGUAGAUGAAGCCACAACUUCUCCUAUGAGGCAAUACUAUCAUGACUCCCAUGGCACGUGCUAAUUUUUAUAGAACUUCAGGCAGACAAGAGAUGCAGUCCAGCUGUGCAAGUCACCUCUAAAGGAAUGCCAUACUAGCAUACGGAAAAUGCUGACAGGCUGCUCCCUCCCCACCACCCAAGGGGAAAAAAAAAACCAAACAAACCAACUUUACAGCAAAAAGGAUUACCAACUGUACCAACUGGGAUAUCCCAGCUAGCUUAAAUCUGACUUCAGCAGUCAAGUCUUACAUCACAUGACCCAGGGUUAGUCAGCUAUCAGGCUGAAUUAUUAAGCCAGUCCUUUCACUUUGACACCAAGAAAUAAUGACUCUCAUGACAUUUCUUCCUAUUCACUUGCUUGCCACAUAACACUGGUGAUAUCUUUGUUACAAAAUAAACACCAGCUACCAGAACCUAAUUUACAUGCAACCUGCUCCAGCUUCUCUCAAGCAUGGAUGGCGAUGGCUCAGUUUAAGUAGUUUACGAGAAACUGUAAAUUCCAGUGGUUAAAUAUGCUUAACAUAAUUUGAAUGUCAUAGAAAACUCUUAGGCACCUCCAUUUCUAAAAAAGCAAACUGGCAUCUGAACAUCCCAUGCCCUGGAGAAUCACAGACAUCCUGGAGCUUUGAGGCAGGAUAUAAAUCCCUGCUAAUUUGUCUGGCCCAACCACCAUGCACUGAAAUGAAUUGCAGACCAAUUAGGCUGACAGAUGGGGGGUUUGCCUAUUCAUGCUCCUCAGAGAGGAAGAGGUAAUGCUUAGAAGAACAUUUCUUCUCUAGGGCUGGGUCUGAUUUCUCCUACUGUCCACAGCAAUUUUAAAGCAUGUAUUGAAGAGCCCUAGGAAAAGUGCCAGGUAUAGCACAACAGUUCUUCAACAAGGAAAAGGGGAGGGGAGGCAGUAUCCCUAGGGAUCCUGGAAUAUGCUACAGUGGGGUUGCCUACUCAAGACUCAUUUUAUCCUCACCUGGCAAUGUGUUCUAAUGCUUUACUGUAAAUUUUGUUUUACAUUAUACAUAGUUUUUACAUAA
Molecule: long non-coding RNA, 1533 nt
Organism: Dromaius novaehollandiae (emu)
Lineage: Eukaryota; Metazoa; Chordata; Aves; Casuariiformes; Dromaiidae
Exons: 2
Source: RefSeq, a predicted model, not a curated record